RNAcentral lists this ribosomal RNA (406 nucleotides) under uncultured bacterium. RNAcentral's name for it is "partial 16S ribosomal RNA". It matches the Rfam family "Bacterial small subunit ribosomal RNA", at positions 30 to 526 of the family's 1533-position model. The record is from RNAcentral.
AUUGAACGCUGGCGGCAGGCUUAACACAUGCGAGUCGAGCGAGCGGCGGACGGGUGAGUAAUGUCUGGGAAACUGCCUGAUGGAGGGGGAUAACUACUGGAAACGGUAGCUAAUACCGCAUACCAUCAGAUGUGCCCAUAUGGGAUUAGCUAGUAGGUGGGGUAAUGGCUCACCUAGGCGCCGAUCCCUAGCUGGUCUGAGAGGAUGACCAGCCAAACUGGUACGGAGACUCGGUCCAGACUCCUACGGGAGGCAGCAGUGGGGAAGAUUGAACAAUGGGCGCAAGCCUGAUGCAGCGAUGCCGCGUGUGUGAAGAAGGCCUUGGGGUUGUAAAGCACUUUCAGCGAGGAGGCGUUACUCGCAGAAGAAGCACCGGCUAACGCCGGGCCAGCAGCCGCGGUAAUAC